Molecule: long non-coding RNA, 243 nt
Filed under: Vigna radiata
Lineage: Eukaryota; Viridiplantae; Streptophyta; Magnoliopsida; Fabales; Fabaceae
Description: long non-coding RNA (VRAD_LNC014974)
Source: RNAcentral
GGUCCUUACCUUUGCUUAAUGCUUUUAUCGUUUAACUCAUUCGGUAAAUGUUGUUUGUCUUUAUUAAUACAGAGACGUACAUUAAUGUCAUAAACUGGGGGGAAUUCCUUGAUUAUGCUAACACCGCCUAUAGAUAGGGGUAGGACGAUCAAUUGUAUUUUGCUUCCGUUUAUCAUGCAUUAUUAGUUACUAGGGGAGGCUAGAGAUAGCAAGCCAGUAAUUAGUAAUAGGCUCUUUUCGCCA